RNAcentral lists this ribosomal RNA (484 nucleotides) under uncultured bacterium. RNAcentral's name for it is "partial 16S ribosomal RNA". It matches the Rfam family "Bacterial small subunit ribosomal RNA", at positions 30 to 507 of the family's 1533-position model. The record is from RNAcentral.
AGUGAACGCUGGCGGCAGGCCUAACACAUGCAAGUCGAGCGGCAGCGGGUCCUUCGGGAUGCCGGCGAGCGGCGGACGGGUGAGGAAUGCAUCGGAAUCUGCCCUGUCGUGGGGGAUAACCUAGGGAAACUUAGGCUAAUACCGCAUACGACCCACGGGUGAAAGCGGGGGAUCGCAAGACCUCGCGCGAUAGGAUGGGCCGAUGUCCGAUUAGCUAGUUGGCGGGGUAAAGGCCCACCAAGGCGACGAUCGGUAGCUGGUCUGAGAGGAUGAUCAGCCACACUGGGACUGAGACACGGCCCAGACUCCUACGGGAGGCAGCAGUGGGGAAUAUUGGACAAUGGGCGCAAGCCUGAUCCAGCCAUGCCGCGUGGGUGAAGAAGGCCUUCGGGUUGUAAAGCCCUUUUGUCCGGGAAGAAAUCGUCUGGGCUAAUACCCCGGGCGGAUGACGGUACCGGAAGAAUAAGCACCGGCUAACUUCGUG